This 934-nucleotide ribosomal RNA is filed under the name Anthopleura anneae. Its description in RNAcentral is "eukaryotic LSU rRNA". It matches the Rfam family "Eukaryotic large subunit ribosomal RNA", at positions 72 to 814 of the family's 3401-position model. Lineage: Eukaryota; Metazoa; Cnidaria; Anthozoa; Actiniaria; Actiniidae. The record is from RNAcentral.
GGAUUCCCCUAGUAAUGGCGAAUGAAGCGGGAACAGCUCAAAUUUGAAAUCUCCGUCGCCUGCGACGGCGAAUUGUAGUUUCGAGAAGCACUUUCUAGGCGAUUCGGGGCCGUCCAAGUUGCUUGGAACAGCACGUCAUAGAGGGUGACAACCCCGUCUGUGGCGGAACCGGGCGCUGACGAUGUGCUUUCGACGAGUCGGGUUGUUUGGGAAUGCAGCCCAAAAUGGGUGGUAAACUCCAUCUAAAGCUAAAUACUGGCACGAGACCGAUAGCGAACAAGUACCGUGAGGGAAAGAUGAAAAGCACUUUGAAAAGAGAGUUAAAAAGUACGUGAAACCGUUAAAAGGGAAACGAAUGAGGUUAGCAAUGCGCUCUGCGAGAUUCAGCCGGUGGCCGGGCUGGGCGAGCGGUUUGCGGAUCUGAAUGGACCGCGGCCGUUCGGGUCGGUCCCUCGACCGUCGCACUUCUCACGAGCGCGCGUCAGUGUCGGUUGGAACUGGGUUUUAAAGUCGCCGGGAAGGUAGGUCAGUCCCUCCGGGGUCAGACUGUUAUAGACCGGUGUUCUUAUGGCUCGGAUCCUACCGAGGUGCCGCGGCGCGUGCCUUUUCUGGCUGGGGUUCCGUCGUUCCGGUCGGUAGUCGACUGUGGUGGACUGCGUGCAGUGCAUCGCGACUGCUGCCGGUCGCUUCGGCGGUGACCUCACACAACGCGCCCAGGACGCUGGCGGUGACAUGGCCUCAUCCGACCCGUCUUGAAACACGGACCAAGGAGUCUAACAUGUGCGCGAGUCUUUGAGUGAUCGAAACUCGCAGGCGGAAUGAAAGUGAAGGUGGCUUCGGCCGCUGAGGUGAGAACCCCUCCUUGCGGGGGGCGCAUCAUCGACCGACCUAUUCUACUCUUAGGAAGGUUUGAGUAAGAGCGCAUCUGUUGGAC